AAUCAACGCUGGCGGCGUGCCUCAGACAUGCAAGUCGAACGCGAAAGUUCCCUUCGGGGGAUGAGUAGAGUGGCGCACGGGUGAGUAACACGUAGGUAAUCUACCUUCGGAUGGGGAAUAACAACCGGAAACGGUUGCUAAUACCGCAUAAUGCAGCGGCACCUAAUGGUGACAGUUGUUAAAGCGGGGGAUCGAAAGACCUCGCGUCUGAAGAGGAGCCUGCGGCGGAUUAGCAGUUGGUAGGGUAACGGCCUACCAAGGCUACGAUCCGUAGCCGGCCUGAGAGGGGCGGUCGGCCACACUGACACUGACAUACGGGUCAGACUCCUACGGGAGGCAGCAGUCGGGAAUUUUGGGCAAUGGGUGAAAGCCUGACCCAGCAACGCCGCGUGAAGGAUGAAAUCCCUCGGGAUGUAAACUUCGCAAGAACGGGAAGAAUAAGUAGGGGACAAUACCCCCUAUGAUGACGGUACCGUUUGUAAGCUCCGCUAACUCCGUGCCAGCCGCGCAGU
RNAcentral lists this ribosomal RNA (512 nucleotides) under uncultured bacterium. Its description in RNAcentral is "bacterial SSU rRNA". It matches the Rfam family "Bacterial small subunit ribosomal RNA", at positions 32 to 521 of the family's 1533-position model. The record is from RNAcentral.